This 490-nucleotide ribosomal RNA is filed under the name uncultured bacterium. Its description in RNAcentral is "partial 16S ribosomal RNA". It matches the Rfam family "Bacterial small subunit ribosomal RNA", at positions 30 to 507 of the family's 1533-position model. The record is from RNAcentral.
AUUGAACGCUGGCGGCAGGCCUAACACAUGCAAGUCGAACGGUAACAGGAAACAGCUUGCUGUUUCGCUGACGAGUGGCGGACGGGUGAGUAAUGUCUGGGAAACUGCCUGAUGGAGGGGGAUAACUACUGGAAACGGUAGCUAAUACCGCAUAACGUCGCAAGACCAAAGAGGGGGACCUUCGGGCCCCUUGCCAUCGGAUGUGCCCAGAUGGGAUUAGCUAGUAGGUGGGGUAACGGCUCACCUAGGCGACGAUCCCUAGCUGGUCUGAGAGGAUGACCAGCCACACUGGAACUGAGACACGGUCCAGACUCCUACGGGAGGCAGCAGUGGGGAAUAUUGCACAAUGGGCGCAAGCCUGAUGCAGCCAUGCCGCGUGUAUGAAGAAGGCCUUCGGGUUGUAAAGUACUUUCAGCGGGGAUGAAGGGAGUAAAGUUAAUACCUUUGCUCAUUGACGUUACCCGCAGAAGAAGCACCGGCUAACUCCGUG